UGGAGACCGCUUGGAGCAACUGAUAGAGUCAUUUGGAGGAUUUGAUUUGGUAAUUGGUGGAAGCCCGUGCAAUAACCUUGCAGGCAGUAACAGAGUGAGCAGGGAUGGGCUUGAAGGCAAAGAGUCUUCCCUGUUUUAUGACUAUGUUCGGAUAUUGGACUUGGUCAAGUCCAUAAUGUCCAGACAUAGACAUUAGUAAUUUUAUGACUAUGUACGGAUAUUGGACUUGGUCAAGUCCAUAAUGUCCAGACAUAGCCAUUAGUGGACAAGUAGUAGGCAAGUUCUGUACUUUGUUUUUCCUUCAUUUUCGCAGAUUACUUUACUUAAGCCCCCUUACUAAUAUUAAAAUCGAACAUUGAGAAGGGUUGGUCUUUGAUAAUGCAAUUCUUGUGUUAACUUUUUAAGUGGUUUGCCACAUUUGAAGUUAAUUCUUCUUGUUCAUGAUCUAAGUUGUCUAACUUAGUCAAAACUAUGAGUUUUUUUUUUUUUUGAAUUAUGUGUCUGUUUAAUUUUUAUUUACG
RNAcentral lists this long non-coding RNA (521 nucleotides) under Nicotiana benthamiana. Its description in RNAcentral is "long non-coding RNA (NBEN_LNC038184)". Lineage: Eukaryota; Viridiplantae; Streptophyta; Magnoliopsida; Solanales; Solanaceae. The record is from RNAcentral.